Molecule: long non-coding RNA, 799 nt
Organism: Paramisgurnus dabryanus
Lineage: Eukaryota; Metazoa; Chordata; Actinopteri; Cypriniformes; Cobitidae
Source: RefSeq, a predicted model, not a curated record
CAAAAACCUCCUCACUACUCUUAGUCAACUCUGCCUUGCAGGAAAAACCUGAAGUCAACUUUAUACUGUAAGCUUCAUUCCUUUUAUAGCAGAGUUUUUGUAUGUGAGGAAAUCUUGCUUAUGCUGGGAGUGAAGGCAGUGCGUAUGACCACUUGAUAUGAGAGACACAUCCUGUUUUUAAAGACCCAAAUCUUGUUUGGCCUGAUGCUCAACCUUGUACAGUCCACCAAAUGAAGACCACAGCCAGGUGAUGGGAAUCUGUGGUAAUCACAGCCUGCAUCUCAAGAUCACCAUAGCAGAUCAUCUAUUAUCUUACUCUUAUCUGACCUGUUCAGCAUCAUUGCCACAAAAGAAACAUUGGAUGGAGUAUGCAUAAUGUUUCAGGACACGAAAUAAUAUGGACAUUUUUUGACUAGCUUCUAUAAACAUUAACACAAUCCUAUUGACUUGUAUUUUUACAGUUAGUAAUGUAUUUAACAUCCCAUUAAUUUGUAUUCUGUGUCGUCUUUUUGUGGGUGCUAAAAUGUAGAUCUGAAUGUAAUGUCAUAAUAUGGUAAUAUUCAGUAUUUAUUAUCAUUUGCAUGUUUUAAUGUGGCAUAUGUCAUGAUAUUAAUGAUUUUAUUUAAUUUGUGUCUAUUUAGAAUGAUUGUCUUGCCAAAUUUUAUUGUUUAUUUAAUAUUGAAGCAGUUAUUUAACAUCCAUAUCUAAUUUGAGUAGUGAUUUGUUAUAUUUGCAUUUUAAUUCAUGUAUUUAUUUUGAUGUAUAUUUUUAACGUAACAAUGUGAUUUUAAUACCCAUA